Molecule: long non-coding RNA, 2927 nt
Filed under: Brassica napus (rape)
Lineage: Eukaryota; Viridiplantae; Streptophyta; Magnoliopsida; Brassicales; Brassicaceae
Description: long non-coding RNA (BNAP_LNC017272)
Source: RNAcentral
GCUAAGCCAAGCUGAGGGAGUAGAAAUCAAACACGCCCCUAUUGGUGGCUACGGUUCAAAUUACAGAAAGCAGAUAGAAGUUCCUGCAGCAGAAGCAACCAUUGAAGCCACUGCUCAAGGAAUAGCCUCAAUGCUUUGCGCUCACGGUCCUGAAGUGGAGUGGAGGAUCUGCACUAUAUGGGAAGCUGCCUAUGGAUUGAUCCCUUUAAACUCCUCAGCCGUUGAUCUCCCUGAGAUCAUUGUCGCCACCCCACUGCAACCUCCCAUCUUGUCAUGGAACCUAUACAUCCCACUCCUCAAAGUACUCGAGUAUCUUCCACGUGGGAGUCCUUCCGAAGCAUGCUUGAUGAAGAUAUUCGUCGCCACGGUGGAAACAAUCCUCAGCAGAACUUUCCCGCCAGAGACUUCUAUAAAGAAAGCUAGAGCGAGUUUAGCCACGAGAUCAUCAGCGACCAAAAACCUCGCUAUGGCUGAGCUUCGUGCUAUGGUCCAUGCUCUCUUCUUGGAAUCAUGCGCUGGCGUGGAGAUAGCUUCGCGCCUGCUUUUCGUUGUGUUGACUGUUUGUGUUAGCCAUGAAGCGCAGUCUAGUGGGAGCAAGAGACGGAGAAGCGAAGAAGAUGCUACUGCAGAGGAGAAUCAAGACAAUCAAACUAGUAACCGUAAGAGUAGGAACGUCAAGGGACAAGGACCUGUGGCGGCGUUUGAUUCGUACGUUCUCGCUGCUGUAAUAAAGCCUCAGAUGUUUCAUCCAUGAACCGGUGCUGAUUGUCUUUCUCCUUAGGAUCAAGUCGUUGCUUAUGUCGAAUACUUUGGUCAGUUCACAUCAGAGCAAUUCCCUGAUGAUAUUGCUGAGGUACUUGUUCGUGUGUUUAUGUUGCCUUAUGAUUAGUCGUGAUUAUAUAUAUAUACUGAUGUACAAAUAUUUAUGUAUCAGUUGGUCCGUAAUCAGUAUCCAUCAACUGAGAAGCGGCUUUUGGAUGAUGUGUUGGGUAUGUGUGUGAGCUUCUCUAUCAAACACUUUAUGAUCCACGCUUCUUUGUUUUGAAUGUUUAUAUCUGAUUCUCUGUCUUGUUCAUGAAAACAACAGCUAUGUUUGUCCUCCAUCAUCCGGAGCAUGGUCAUGCUGUCAUCCUUCCGAUUAUCUCAUGUCUCAUCGAUGGCACCCUAGUGUACAGCAAGGAAGCUCAUCCCUUCGCCUCUUUCAUUUCUUUAGUUUCCCCAAAUAGUGAGGUAAAUAGUUUCUCAACACUGUCUUUCAUGGAAACUCUUUUUGGUAUGCUGACAAACAUGUGUGUUCACAAUCCUCUACAGAAUGACUAUUCAGAGCAAUGGGCUUUGGCGUGCGGAGAAAUCCUACGCAUCUUGACUCAUUACAACCGUCCCAUUUACAAGACGGAGCAGCAAAAUGGAGAAACGGAGAGCAAAGCUUCUACUAGUGGGUCUCCUACGCUUUCAGAGGCUAAGGCUGUAUCACCAGGACAGCAUGAAAGGAAACCGCUAAGGCCUUUGUCUCCAUGGAUCAGUGAUAUACUACUCGCUGCUCCCCUUGGUAUUAGAAGUGACUACUUUCGUUGGUAAGUAGAUUCUGUUACUUUGAUUUGUACUGUGCUUAAGCUUCAACUUAUAAUAAUUGUUUGUUUGUAUAUACAGGUGUAGUGGUGUUAUGGGUAAAUAUGCUGCUGGAGAGCUCAAGCCACCUACUAUUGGUGAGUUUCCAUCACCUCUGGCUACUACAAUGGGUUGUGAGUUACGUCUUAUAACACUUCUCUUAUUUUGCAGCUACUCGAGGAUCUGGUAAACAUCCUCAAUAUAUGCCUUCCACGCCAAGAUGGGCGGUUGCUAAUGGAGCUGGUGUCAUACUGAGUGUUUGUGAUGAUGAAGUUGCUCGGUACGAGACUGCUACGUUAACAGCGGUUGCUGUCCCUGCACUUCUCCUUCCUCCCCCAACGACAUCCUUAGAUGAGCAUUUAGUUGCUGGCCUUCCAGCUCUUGAGCCUUAUGCACGUUUGUUUCACAGGUAGUGUUUCUGAACACAUCCUUGUGCUUCCUGGAGUCAUAUGUUGUUCUCACUCUCUUGUUCUACUGUCAGAUAUUAUGCGAUUGCAACUCCAAGUGCUACUCAGAGACUUCUUCUUGGACUCUUGGAAGCACCACCGUCUUGGGCUCCAGAUGCACUUGAUGCUGCUGUACAGCUUGUGGAGCUUCUCCGAGCUGCUGAGGAUUAUGCAUCUGGUGUAAGGGUAAGCAUUUGGCUCCUACGAAAUAACUUUUGAUAUGUUAUUAAAAAAGGAUCAGCUCUGAUCACACACUCUCUCUUUUCUUUGAUGUAGCUACCAAGGAACUGGAUGCAUUUGCACUUCUUGCGUGCAAUAGGAAUCGCCAUGUCUAUGAGGGCAGGCGUUGCUGCUGACGCUGCAGCCGCUUUGCUUUUCCGCAUACUCUCGCAGCCGGCACUGCUUUUUCCUCCGCUAAGCCAAGCUGAGGGAGUAGAAAUCAAACACGCUCCUAUUGGUGGCUACGGUUCAAAUUACAGAAAGCAGAUAGAAGUUCCUGCAGCAGAAGCAACCAUUGAAGCCACUGCACAAGGAAUAGCCUCAAUGCUUUGUGCUCACGGACCUGAAGUGGAGUGGAGGAUCUGCACUAUAUGGGAAGCUGCCUAUGGAUUGAUCCCUUUAAACUCCUCAGCCGUUGAUCUCCCUGAGAUCAUUGUCGCCACCCCACUGCAACCUCCCAUCUUGUCAUGGAACCUAUACAUCCCACUCCUCAAAGUACUCGAGUAUCUUCCACGUGGGAGUCCUUCCGAAGCAUGCUUGAUGAAGAUAUUCGUCGCCACGGUGGAAACAAUCCUCAGCAGAACUUUCCCGCCAGAGACUUCUAUAAAGAAAGCUAGAGCGAGUUUAGCCACGAGAUCAUCAGCGACCAAAAAC